GAACACCCGCCGGAUGAACGGAAAUCAUUGAUGUUGAUUAAUAUGUUAGUAAUAACGGUGUUU
This 63-nucleotide transfer RNA is filed under the name Physidae sp. P3S_19. RNAcentral's name for it is "tRNA-Ile". Lineage: Eukaryota; Metazoa; Mollusca; Gastropoda; Physidae. The record is from RNAcentral.